Molecule: transfer RNA, 67 nt
Filed under: Scaphoideus maai
Lineage: Eukaryota; Metazoa; Arthropoda; Insecta; Hemiptera; Cicadellidae
Description: tRNA-Pro
Source: RNAcentral
CAACAAAUAUUUUAAUUAAAAUAUUAAUUUUGGGUAUUAGAGAUGUAAAGGGUUUUUACUUUGUUGA